This is a non-coding RNA of Caenorhabditis elegans, 121 nucleotides long. Lineage: Eukaryota; Metazoa; Nematoda; Chromadorea; Rhabditida; Rhabditidae. The record is from Ensembl.
UACUCGCUAAUCAAGUGACUAUUAUACGCUUGAAUAAGUUGUGAUGUAUUGUUUCCCUCCUAUGGUGGACCCCCUCUAAAAUUUACUCUCUUCCUCUCUUUUCAUGCCUUUCUUUUCAUCA